Molecule: ribosomal RNA, 411 nt
Filed under: uncultured microorganism
Description: bacterial SSU rRNA
Rfam family: Bacterial small subunit ribosomal RNA
Source: RNAcentral
GAGUUUGAUCAUGGCUCAGAUUGAACGCUGGCGGCAUGCCUUACACAUGCAAGUCGAACGGUAACAGGUCUUCGGAUGCUGACGAGUGGCGAACGGGUGAGUAAUACAUCGGAACGUGCCCAGACGUGGGGGGAUAACGAGGCGAAAGCUUUGCUAAUACCGCAUACGAUCUAAGGAUGAAAGCAGGGGACCGCAAGGCCUUGCGCGUUUGGAGCGGCCGAUGGCAGAUUAGGUAGUUGGUGGGAUAAAAGCUUACCAAGCCGACGAUCUGUAGCUGGUCUGAGAGGACGACCAGCCACACUGGGACUGAGACACGGCCCAGACUCCUACGGGAGGCAGCAGUGGGGAAUUUUGGACAAUGGGCGAAAGCCUGAUCCAGCAAUGCCGCGUGCAGGAUGAAGGCCUUCGGUU